AUGCCUGGCAAGCUUGAUUCCCUAGAGGUGUUGAGCCUCCGGUCUAAUCGCCUGACUAUUGGCCUCACUCCUGAUGUAGGAUCUAUUCCUUCUCUUCAUUCCCUCUAUCUGCAGCAUAAUAAUCUGUGUGGAAUCAUACCAACUACACUUUCAUCCAGCUUGACAUUCCAAGACCUCUGCUACAACACUUUCAAUGGGGAAAUCCCAUUGAGCGUGCAAAAUCUCAAUGGACUUAUUGCAAUCCUUCUCCAGAACAACUCUCUUUCUAGACCCAUCCCUAGCCUACGUCUCGCCAAAUUGAGGCAUUUGAAUGUGAGGAAUAACAACCUAAGUGGUCCAAUACCACCUUCCUUUGCAGAAAUUCCCGGCUAG
This 372-nucleotide ribosomal RNA is filed under the name Triticum aestivum (bread wheat). RNAcentral's name for it is "partial small subunit ribosomal RNA". The record is from RNAcentral. Lineage: Eukaryota; Viridiplantae; Streptophyta; Magnoliopsida; Poales; Poaceae.